AAAAAGGCAAACCUUGAAUUUUCGUGUUCAACUUUGACUGUCCGUCUUAUAUAAAAUAUUUUUAUAAUUCGUAUUUUCAUUAUUGUUAGAUGAUAAAACAUGAUUAAUAUUUUAUACGUGACUUAUCUUUUUAAUUUUUUUAUAAUUUUUUUAAAUAACAUGGAAACCAGAGUUUGUC
This 178-nucleotide microRNA precursor is filed under the name Oryza sativa Indica Group (long-grained rice). Its description in RNAcentral is "MIR812 microRNA precursor family". It matches the Rfam family "MIR812 microRNA precursor family", at positions 1 to 180 of the family's 205-position model. Lineage: Eukaryota; Viridiplantae; Streptophyta; Magnoliopsida; Poales; Poaceae. The record is from Rfam by way of RNAcentral.